This 73-nucleotide transfer RNA is filed under the name Apaloderma vittatum (bar-tailed trogon). It matches the Rfam family "tRNA". From Rfam's summary of the family: Transfer RNA (tRNA) molecules are approximately 80 nucleotides in length. Their secondary structure includes four short double-helical elements and three loops (D, anti-codon, and T loops). Lineage: Eukaryota; Metazoa; Chordata; Aves; Trogoniformes; Trogonidae. The record is from Rfam by way of RNAcentral.
GGCCUGUUAGCUCAGUUGGUUGAGCGUGGUGCUGAUAAUGCCAAGGUCGCGGGUUCGAUCCCCGUUCAGUCCC